This 273-nucleotide ribosomal RNA is filed under the name uncultured Staphylococcus sp. Its description in RNAcentral is "partial 16S ribosomal RNA". It matches the Rfam family "Bacterial small subunit ribosomal RNA", at positions 89 to 354 of the family's 1533-position model. Lineage: Bacteria; Bacillati; Bacillota; Bacilli; Caryophanales; Staphylococcaceae. The record is from RNAcentral.
ACGUUAGCGGCGGACGGGUGAGUAACACGUGGGUAACCUACCUAUAAGACUGGGAUAACUUAGGGAAACCGGAGCUAAUACCGGAUAAUAUUUCGAACCGCAUGGUUCGAUAGUGAAAGAUGGUUUUGCUAUCACUUAUAGAUGGACCUGCGCCGUAUUAGCUAGUUGGUAAGGUAACGGCUUACCAAGGCGACGAUACGUAGCCGACCUGAGAGGGUGAUCGGCCACACUGGAACUGAGACACGGUCCAGACUCCUACGGGAGGCAGCAGGC